CACUAAGGCGCAAGGCAGCUGCACAUCCACGGCCAGCCUCGUUGUCUUCAGGGAUUUGUUCAAAGUUCAUUCUGAAUUGUAAGGUAACCACUGCAGAACACGAGCCUUUCCUGGGUAUGUGUGGUUAUUUCUGCCCUUCACGGUCCCACUCAAGUCCUGCCUCCCUCAGGGAGACCUCCCAGACCUCACCAAGCCGUGGGCACGUGGACCAGAAGCCGUGGACCCCAGAGGCUCAUUUAGGGAUCUGCUUUCUGAACCCAGGUCCUAACAUCUGCACUGCAGCGAGCAUUUCUGGUGCCUCAAGUGAGUCACUCCAACUUCCAGGAGCCACCAGCCACAGGCAGCCACUGAGCCCUUGGCAUGUAACCCGGUAACCCAUGCAACAGAAGACCUGAGCGUCCAGUGUUGCUAGCUUGAAGUAACUUCAGUGGUGUUCCCCAGCGUUUUUCUCAUCCCCCUCCCUUCCCUUCCCCUACAGCUUUCUUCCUCUUUCCCCUCCUUCUGAGUCUUUCGUCCCCAGUCCUGGGAACCUUUUUUCUGACUUGGUGUUUUCUCCUGAAUGCCUCCUUCCUGGCCCCCUAAUCAGAAAUGCAGAAGCCACCUGCCCCACACAGGGGGCCACUUUCCCUGCAUCUGGCACUCACCAGGACAGUCAUAGAACUGGCCUUGGGUGCUUGGGGAGAGUGGAGAGGUCUGGGGGGCAUCCACUGGCCUCAGCCUCAGAGCUUCUCAUCAGUAACCCAGGAGGCAAAGGCCCAGCUCAAGAUUAGCCCAGGCCACUGUAUCUGUGCCAAGACCUACAGCUGUCCCUGCAGGGCGUGCAUCUCUGCAGCCCAGGCUAUCACAAUGGUGUCCCUUUUGGUGGGGAUGUGAGGCCUGCUGCUGCCUGGGAAGAAGCUGACAGGAUUGUUGGUGCUGUGGGGAGAAGCUGGUGUAACUGAGACCCAUGAGGGAGGCCCUUUGUGGGUCUGUGGCUGGGAGGAGCUCUGGGGAAGAUGGGCCUUGAGAAAUCCCAGCUUAGCACCUUUGACAGUUGCUCCACUGAGUCACCCUAGACUGCAAUCUCACAGAUGUUCUAACCACCCUCUCCCUGGGGAGCCCUUGGGGGUGCUGCAAGCCCAGUCCUCACUCACUGGCUUUGUGCUUCUCUUCCCGACUUCCUUUUUUUGCUCCUGUUGAGAAAUGUGGGUCCAGGGCUGCGUGCUCCAGUGUGCGGAAGGAAGGGCAGCGUGCUCUUUGGACUGAGCUGGCUCAAGGGAAGCUGGGUCUGAGGGGAGACUGACCUCGACCCUUCUUAAAUGAAACACCUUUUCCCUGCGUCUCAGUCACCGUUACCUGGCCUGAUCACUGUGUGCCACACCCCAUCACAUCCAUCCCCACAAGAAUGCCAGGAGGAGGGGUCAUUGGCCUUUUUGUCAGCACAAACCUCUGGAGGCCCAGCUCCCAAGACCCGCCAGGCACACCUGCCAGAGUGCCUUAACUUGGGAUGUCUGCAAACCUCUGUCCAUGGCCGAACCCACCCCACUGCCUGUUACUGUAAAUAAAGGUCUAUUAGCAUGCCACCAUGCCCCUCCUCCGAUGCAUACAGUGCCCAGCUCAGCACCUGGUGCAAGUAAGCACAAUCUGGCUUCCAGCCAUCACUGCUGUUGCUACUAACACAAAUAUUAGGCCCCUUCUAGAAUGCAAAGAUAACCCAGGGCUGCUCGUUCUGUGUCCAGAUCACAGAGUUUUUCUUUUUAUCCUUAUCAACUUUAUUGAGGGAUAAUUUACAGGCAAUAAAUCAUAUCCAUUUAAAGUUAUUGUCAAGCUUUUAAAGAAUUAAAGUUCGUCUUCUUCAGAAGCUUACCGAGGACUACAGGCUGUGGCGUAGAGCCCUGGAGCAGCCUCCACUGAGGUUCUGUAUUUCAGGUCACAGUUGACAUAUAGGUGGGAGGUCCAGUACGUGCAAAGUCACAUGAAAGCUUGGGUGUCAGAGUGCAUCAGGUUAUGGAUUCAAUUACAGAGCAAUAAUCACUGACCCUGUCAGAUGUUAUCUUACGUGUAGGAAAAGGUAAGACCAGGGCCAUUUAUCUGCAAAGAAUAUAGUGACUCAGGCAAGAGUCCGGAGAGGGUGUGUGCUCCAUCCUGUUUUGUCUUCAGAGCAUCUUUCUGGGGAGCUGCACAUCGUUAUAGAGACAGGCACUUUGUGAAAUUCUGCUGCCAAGCACAAAUGAGCAAACGUGGUUUCCUAUGUUUACUACUUUGUCUCACAAAGCGCACAUUCACAGUGCAUUAUUAAGGGGCCCUGGCAGCACCGCCACAGUGUAUCUCUGCUCCCUCUUAAAGUUCCCCGUGCCCCUUGGCAGACAGGCCCCUCUCACUCCUGGGCCCAGGCUACCAUUGACCAGCUUUUUGCCACUAGAGGUUAAUUUUCAUUCUAUGUGAUUGGAAUCAUACAGAUGUUCUUGUAUCUGACUUAUUUCACUCCACAUAGUGAUUCUGAGAUUCAAAUGUUGUGUGUAUCAGUUGUUUGUUCCUUUUUAUUCCUGAAUGGGAGAGGGGAUGUCAAGCUGCACAGUUUUAUUCCUGGGCUACAGUGGAGAUGGAUGGUUCUACCGUCUCUCUGAAACACCAUCUGCAGUUUCUUCAAAAUCUACCUACACAUCUUCCAUCCCAUCCUGAGGAGUCCCCGAGGGUUGAGAAAUGCAUGACCCCACACCUGGCUGACGUGUACAACUGGCGGAGUUAGUUUUUCCUGUUGACACUGGCCACGGGCGCCUCAGCAUGCACAGCCCUGGCCUUGCUCCUCUAGGCAUGCUGGGGGCUUGUCCACACGUGUGGUCUACGGAUGGAGGAGAGUGGCCUCUGGCCCAUGCGUGCCAUGCACUGGACCUUCCCAGGGAAUCAAGUUACAUGAUGUUUCCUUGAGGAGCUACAUACAAAGUAAAAAACUGAAAUCAAGAAUAUCAGUCAUUUCUGAAUAUGCCAAUUCGCCCAUGGUGCAGUUUGUACAGCUUAAUCACUGCAGAACAGUUUUGAGGAUAAAAUUAACCAAAAACCUAAGUAGACAAAAUAUUCAAAUUUUUGGAAUCUGUCACAAAAAUCCACAGAUGACUUAUUUUCCAUUGUAGCUUAUAAUGUCCAAAAGCCUUUCUAGUGACUUAUAACUGAUGGUGAGCUCCCACUCUGUGGCAGCUGUGGGACACUGGUCUAAGGACUACACCCUGAUGCCUGGUGAGUUACAGAGGCCAUGAGAAGAUGUCAGUGAACCUGAAAGCCAGGGAGAGGCUGUGUUCCUGCCGGACUGUGGGGCUCCUUCGCUCCCCUGCUGUGGCCCUUGGUCAGGCCACUUUCCCUCUCUGGGUGUCAGUGGCUUCAUCUACGAAGUGAUAAAAAACUAAUGCAAACCAGAGCAAAAUGAGAUAACACGGGGACCCCUAAUGUCCCAGGGAGAUGGUGAACUGAAGCACCGCGUGCGGUGAGUUGUUGCUGUCUCCACCCCUCAAGGAGACCGCAGCUUUGCAGACGUGUGGGUCCCAUCAUCGGCCCCAUUCUACAUUCCUCCCUGUGUCCCUGCCAUCGCCAGGUGACUUUGCUGGGCCCUCCCACCGCCCUAACUCCCAAUCCCAAGAUCUUCAGUGAACGUGACGCGCACAGCAGAGGCCCAGAAUGUAUGUGUGCAUGUGGUGACAGCUAAGCCUGCCUGGAGCAGAGCCCCAACCCUGCAGCAGCUCAAACAAGCUGAGAUCAGCAAAUGCACAUCUGACUCUCAGACAUGGGGGCAAUAAUAAUAAAUGCUGUUUGAGUUUUGGGGUCUUUGGCUACACAGCAAUUGCUCACCAAUAUGACAGGGUUGUAUGACGUGGCCAUGCGGAACUGUAUUAUAGGGGAAGUGGUGAACAGUGUGAUGAGAUUUUAAAGAGGAACAGAUUUACCACUGACUUUAGAAAUCAUGGAGGAGAAAUCUCUGGGGUUGCCCUUGAAGGGUGUGUGGAGGAGGACAUGGGAGAAGGGGGAAGAACCGUGGCAUCCUGGCUAAACAGACACAGGGCAGAGGGAGCCUCUGUGUUGGGACUAAGAUGGGGAUGUCGGGGAAGGGACAUGGCAAGCUGACUGUUGGUGGGGAAGGCACGUGUGGGGCUAUAUUGUGAUCAUUGUGAUGUAUAUACAUUGUCACCUCCUACUGUCUCUGAGUCCGGCUGUCCCAAGCCCCCGCCGUGGAAUCCAGCAGUGUUCGGGCCAACUCUCAGAACCUUGGCUUUGUCUGGGGGACCCCUCCCAGACCACUUCACCUGCAAGCCCUCC
RNAcentral lists this long non-coding RNA (4284 nucleotides) under Homo sapiens (human). Its description in RNAcentral is "PREDICTED lncRNA (TCONS_00169996)". Lineage: Eukaryota; Metazoa; Chordata; Mammalia; Primates; Hominidae. The record is from RNAcentral.